CGCAUCUGUGCAUGCAGCAUAUCAAUAAGCGGAGGAAAAGAAACUAACAAGGAUUCCCCUAGUAACGGCGAGUGAAGCGGGAAGAGCUCAAAUUUGAAAUCUUAAAGGGUUUCCCUUUACGAAUUGUAGUUUAAAGAAGUGUUUUCUGUUGAGGUUUUGGUAAAAGUUCUUUGGAAUAGGACAUCAUAGAGGGUGAGAAUCCCGUAUUUGACCUUUACUUUCAACUUUGUGAUACACUUUCAAAGAGUCGGAUUGUUUGGGAAUGCAGUCCAAAAUGGGUGGUAAAUUUCAUCUAAAGCUAAAUAUUGGCGAGAGACCGAUAGCGAACAAGUACCGUGAGGGAAAGAUGAAAAGAACUUUGUAAAGAGAGGUUAAACAGUACGUGAAAUUGUCAAAAGGGAAGCGUUUGACACCAGUGUUGUUUUUCUGAAAAUCAAUUAAAGAACUGUUUAUGCUAAGUUGUUUAGACUUUAUCAGCUAACUGUUUAGUUUUGAGCUUUUCUUUAAUGCACUUUUCAGUUAACAAGUCAACAUCAAUUUCUUUUGCUGUAAAAAAGCUUGAGGAAGGUGGCUUGAGAUUCGUCUUAAGUGUUUAUAGCCUCUUGCCUAUGCAGUCGGAGAGAUUGAGGUCUGCAGCGUAGAUCCUUCGGGGCUAAAUGCAUUUGUGCUAAGUUAUAACAUUUUAUAGACAACUUGUUGACUAUGAUUUGUCUUGUAGCUUACUCGCUUAUGUUAUUUUACCUACGCUUAGGAUGUUGACAGCAGUAUAGACUGU
Molecule: ribosomal RNA, 775 nt
Filed under: uncultured Neocallimastigales
Lineage: Eukaryota; Fungi; Neocallimastigomycota; Neocallimastigomycetes; Neocallimastigales
Description: partial large subunit ribosomal RNA
Rfam family: Eukaryotic large subunit ribosomal RNA
Source: RNAcentral